Molecule: long non-coding RNA, 637 nt
Filed under: Mus musculus (house mouse)
Lineage: Eukaryota; Metazoa; Chordata; Mammalia; Rodentia; Muridae
Description: small nucleolar RNA host gene 5
Source: RNAcentral
UUCUUUUACGACGGAGCCUAAGAUAUUCUUUGUCUUGUCGAUGGAGGGGAGCCCAAAGCAUCUGAGAGAAUUGAUAAAUGAAAGAAACAUGCUUAAAACAUGACCGUUUUAAAGGUGAAUGCUGACCAGUGAGAUGCCAGCCUGCGUGUGAAGAUCCUACAGCAGAAGUGCAUGGCCAGUGACACAAGAACUUGCGAGAGAUGCCAGUCCGCCUGUGAAGAUCCUGCAGCAGGAGUGCAUAGCCAGUGACACAAGACGUGCGAAUGAAAACUAGAUGUGACCAUCCAGAAAAAGCAUAGACAAAAAAAUGCAGUCUUAGUACUGGGAUGUUUGAGAUGGGGUCUAUCUACAUGUCUCUAGCUGUCCCUAUCAGGACAGCAUCUGGUGUGGCCUGCAGAGUUGAUUCCUGUACUUUUUUUUUUUUGUGGGCUGUAUGUAAAUGGAUUGUUUUGACAAUCCAUUCGACAGUGUUCUCUUCUGUGAAGGUCAUAGGUGAGCUGAUUGACAGACACAGCUGUACAGACUGAAUGCAAUCCUGACUAUAAAGCUGCAGUUCAUCAUUAUGAGCUAUUUCCUUAUUCUGGCAGUGAUUGAAAUAAAAUGGGGAGUAUUGAAAUAAAAAACAUUCAAUUGCAAA